RNAcentral lists this ribosomal RNA (253 nucleotides) under uncultured bacterium. Its description in RNAcentral is "partial 16S ribosomal RNA". It matches the Rfam family "Bacterial small subunit ribosomal RNA", at positions 524 to 776 of the family's 1533-position model. The record is from RNAcentral.
UACGUAGGGUGCGAGCGUUGUCCGGAAUUAUUGGGCGUAAAGGGCUCGUAGGCGGUUUGUCGCGUCGGGAGUGAAAUCCACUGGCUUAACUGGUGGCUUGCUUUCGAUACGGGCAGACUGGAGGUAUGCAGGGGAGAACGGAAUUCCUGGUGUAGCGGUGAAAUGCGCAGAUAUCAGGAGGAACACCGGUGGCGAAGGCGGUUCUCUGGGCAUGUCCUGACGCUGAGGAGCGAAAGUGUGGGUAGCGAACAGG